This 253-nucleotide ribosomal RNA is filed under the name uncultured bacterium. Its description in RNAcentral is "partial 16S ribosomal RNA". It matches the Rfam family "Bacterial small subunit ribosomal RNA", at positions 335 to 605 of the family's 1533-position model. The record is from RNAcentral.
CUUCCUACGCGAGGCAGCAGUGGGGAAUAUUGCACAAUGGGGGAAACCCUGAUGCAGCGACGCCGCGUGAGUGAAGAAGUAAUUCGUUAUGUAAAGCUCUAUCAGCAGGGAAGAAAAUGACGGUACCUGAGUAAGAAGCCCCGGCUAACUACGUGCCAGCAGCCGCGGUAAUACGUGGGGGGCAAGCGUUAUCCGGAUUUACUGGGUGUAAAGGGAGUGUAGACGGCAGUGCAAGUCUGGCGUGAACGGCGGG